UGCUCGAAAGAGAACCUGCACACAGGUGCUGCAUGGCUGUCGUCAGCUCGUGUCGUGAGAUGUUGGGUUAAGUCCCGCAACGAGCGCAACCCUUGCCAUCAGUUGCUACGAAAGGGCACUCUGAUGGGACUGCCGGUGACAAACCGGAGGAAGGUGGGGAUGACGUCAAGUCCUCAUGGCCCUUAUAGUGGGGCUACACACGUCAUACAAUGGCCGGUACAAAGGGCAGCAAACCCGCGAGGGGGAGCCAAUCCAUCAAAGCCGGUCGUAGUCCGGAUCGCAGUCUGCAACUCGACUGCGUGAAGUCGGAAUCGCUAGUAAUCGUGGAUCAGCAUGUCACGGUGAAUACGUUCCCGGGUCUU
This 362-nucleotide ribosomal RNA is filed under the name uncultured Allobrachymonas sp. Its description in RNAcentral is "bacterial SSU rRNA". It matches the Rfam family "Bacterial small subunit ribosomal RNA", at positions 1014 to 1382 of the family's 1533-position model. Lineage: Bacteria; Pseudomonadati; Pseudomonadota; Betaproteobacteria; Burkholderiales; Comamonadaceae. The record is from RNAcentral.